Long non-coding RNA from Alligator sinensis (Chinese alligator), 1434 nucleotides. RefSeq lists it as uncharacterized. The record is from RefSeq and is a predicted model, not a curated record. NCBI's taxonomy places the organism in Eukaryota, Metazoa, Chordata, Crocodylia, Alligatoridae. The transcript is spliced from 3 exons.
CAGAUGAAGGGUUCUGCUGUGUUUCAAUCAACUCAUACCAAAAGAGAGAAGGCAAUGAGCCUUGCAACUGGAAAUUACAGGUGGAAGCAGAGGCCCCCAGAACAGUGGAGGCCGGAGGGCCCUGGCCCCCCUCGGGACAAGGGCCGUCACCUGAAGUGUGUCAGACGUACCCACGCCUUAGGGCCCCCCCGGCAAAAUAUAUAAGUCAGCGCCUAUGGGUGGAAGAGAGGAGUCUAGUCUGAGUCUCUAAACCUCCAUUCUCCUUGUUCCCACCGAAGACAUGAGCUCUGAGCUCAGCCAUGCAACAGGGGGAGAGAAUCGCCAUGCUUUUCUUUCAGCUAUAGACUAUAUCUCCUGCUGGGAUCCCUCUAGACAAGAAGGCAGUUGAAAGGAUUACCCCCAAACCAUUUUUAAGACAUCUAAUCCUUGCAGGGAGAGCAGGUGCCCUCACUUAGCACGUAGUGCAGUUGCUAGCUCUCUGGACUUCCUGCCCUCCGAAAAAAGCAUUUGGAAAUCACCUAGGAGGACAAAGGGUGUGACUUUUUCAAAUGCAGCUUAUUUUAUCUGGAAAAGAGGAGCAGCUGUCAGAAAAGCCAAGUUGUGGGGGCUGCUGAUUUGCUAAGGAAGAGAGUUGCAUGGAAAAGUCUCCCACAAGAAAAAGCAUUAUCAGCUUGAAAAUCUUCCUCUAAAAGAAACCGCACCAUGACAACACAAACGACGGCUAAGAAAAAAUAAUCAGUUCGUUGAUGGCGCACACAUGUAUCUGGGUUCGCUUCUGUUUUAAGCGCGGGUGAUCAGUAGUUGGGGAUGGCUGCACAUGCCGUGGACCACUUUCGUGUUAAUAACUGCUGAUAAAAUGGUUUUCAUUCAUAUAAGUUUUUAGUAAAUUUAGUACUAAUGAAACUUAUGAAUGCGUUUUCUUCAAGUUUUUCCGUACUGGCCUAGGUAACUUUCAUUAUCAGCAGGUAAAGCUAGUUCUCUCCCACCCAUAAUGAGGGUUUUCCAGUAUCCUAUAGGUCUUCCCUUAAUGACGCUGGCAUAAACUAACUGCAAGACUCAGCUGAAAAACUCUCCUCGGGCAGUAAGUCUCGGCCGGGGCAUACUUCAAGGAGCAGGACUGGGCUUUGUGAGAUUUGGGCUUUCCCAUCUGCUUUGUUGAUCAUAGGUUCAUAGUUGUUAGGGGCUGGAAGGGACCUUGCAGAUCAUCGGGUCUAGCUCUAGGCAGGAUCAAGUUGCUUGAUCUCCUUGGGCCUCAACUCCGCAGCAGACGCAUCCUUCUUCCCAUCCUCUAUCCAUUUCAUCUGAAUUUCAAGCUCUUGCAGGCCUAUAUCUUUACUUAUCCAGCGGCAGCGUUUUGAUUUCAGCUGGGACCUUUGGACGCUGUUGUGAUACAAGGAAGUAAUAACAGGUUAAGAACUUACUUUCUUUCCCCUA